UGUAAAAGAAACUGGAUGAAAAUGAAAGUUCCACUCCUCAAUAAAAGGGCAGCUGCUUCUCCUUGUGCAUUUGGGUCCCUGGAUCAACAGUCGCCCUGGAGUGGCUCACAAAACAGAAACUUAGUCAUUAACAUGUGGAAAAACCCAGUACUGUGCUUUCUCAUUGGUCACUGUUCACCAGCCUGCUGUGCUCUCUGCAGCUCUGGGUCAGGAUAUCAUCAUGCCCUGUGAGCUCCGGCUGCAAGAUGAGAAGCUCCUGUCCCAGCCCAUCCUCUACUGGUGGAAAUUAAAUGAGAUGGGUGGUGAUUUCAUACGGUUGAUCCCCUCACAGACCCCGAACAAUAGCCGUGCAAACCUUCUGGACAAUAACGGGACAUCAACAAACAAGUCGAUGAUUCUGAAAAGUGUGCAGUGGGCUGACAGCGGGAAGUACCGCUGCAAGCUCUCGCUUCACACAGAGAGGAAUGGAAAUUUUAGGCAGAAGGGGGACACAACUUCCCUUGUGGUUUACGGCACCGUGGUCUUUAAUGUCACCAAACGCGCUCCCUGCAUGCUGGGCUGUGAGGUCAGCGU
Long non-coding RNA from Oreochromis aureus, 573 nucleotides. NCBI's taxonomy places the organism in Eukaryota, Metazoa, Chordata, Actinopteri, Cichliformes, Cichlidae. The record is from Ensembl.